AACGUAGGACACAAGCGUUAUCCGGAGUUACUGGGCGUAAAGGGCGCGUAGGCGGGCGGCUAAGUCCGCGGUGAAAUCCUCCAGCUCAACUGGAGAACGGCCGCGGAUACUGGUCGUCUCGAGGAACGUAGGGGUAUGCGGAACUAUCGGUGGAGCGGUGAAAUGCGUUGAUAUCGAUAGGAACUCCGGUGGCGAAGGCGGCAUACUGGACGUUUUCUGACGCUGAGGCGCGAAAGCCAGGGGAGCAAACGGG
This 253-nucleotide ribosomal RNA is filed under the name uncultured bacterium. Its description in RNAcentral is "partial 16S ribosomal RNA". It matches the Rfam family "Bacterial small subunit ribosomal RNA", at positions 524 to 776 of the family's 1533-position model. The record is from RNAcentral.